GCGGGGCUGGGGCGAGGUCUCACUAAGUUGCGGGGCUCGCGGGACCGGGAGCUGGGCUGGCGGCGUCUUGCUGAGAGCUCCCAAUUGGAGGGGAAGAACCUCGUAACGGAGACCCGCAAUGGAAUGGAUUGACCCUGGCAGAGGUUGGAUGAGGCCAGAGCGGGUCUAGGGACACAGGAGACACAGGUCCCAGAGGCUGAGCCCGUCACUGAGUCCUGCGCACACAAGCAUGUUCUGGGAGCAGCCGGCCGGCACAUGGCGGGCGGGCGGCCACCCUCCCCAGACACACACGGCUCUCCGGGGCCCACAGGCUAGCAAGGCAGCCCGCCAGGCCAGCUUCACGCACAGGACUGGGUCACCCCCUCCACCACCACAGUGCCCUCCGGAGGCCAGAAGCAUGAGGCGCCUUCGGACCACAGGAGAUGGGUUUUGGGAGAUGAACAAGGUUCUAUUUCCGAUUUAGGGGCAGACCAGGGCCAUGGGGGCAUCAAGACCACCACCAGACGCCACGAGAUCUAAAAUCCAUACAAACAUUUAUUCUGUUCCUGCCUCGGGUCUGGGGACCAGGGAUCAGGGCCCUAGGGGGACUGCAGGCCUUCACAGACAGCCCCGGGGGGGAAAGCAGGGCUCCAGCAGGAAGACAGGGUCCAGAGGCUGGUGGGCCCUGGAGGGGUCCCAAAGGCGAGACCCUGGAGGGUGGCAGGGGGGCUGGCUCGGUUCCCAGAUGUCGCGGAGUCCCGGUAGGUUUGGGGAGGCCAGUUUCCACCAGCUCAGCCUGGGCCAGGCUGGACUCUCCAUCCUGGUGGCUGCCAAGGUGCCGGGCCCGGCCCCCCGACUUCUCCCCCCCGCUCCCCUGCCCCCAACAGGGAAGGCAGCACCAGGGUCCUGCUUCUCUGGGUGGGGAAAGACAACUGUGCGAGUUGCCAGAUUUAAAUUACAAAUAAUAAAAAUAACAAUACAAAAUAAAAAAGACAAGCCCUGUCUCAAACGCACCC
This is a long non-coding RNA of Suricata suricatta (meerkat), 995 nucleotides long. RefSeq lists it as uncharacterized. The record is from RefSeq and is a predicted model, not a curated record. Lineage: Eukaryota; Metazoa; Chordata; Mammalia; Carnivora; Herpestidae. The transcript has 3 exons.